AAAUUGAAGAGUUUGAUCAUGGCUCAGAUUGAACGCUGGCGGCAGGCCUAACACAUGCAAGUCGAACGGUAACAGAAAGCAGCUUGCUGCUUUGCUGACGAGUGGCGGACGGGUGAGUAAUGUCUGGGAAACUGCCCGAUGGAGGGGGAUAACUACUGGAAACGGUAGCUAAUACCGCAUAACGUCGCAAGACCAAAGAGGGGGACCUUAGGGCCUCUUGCCAUCGGAUGUGCCCAGAUGGGAUUAGCUAGUAGGUGGGGUAACGGCUCACCUAGGCGACGAUCCCUAGCUGGUCUGAGAGGAUGACCAGCCACACUGGAACUGAGACACGGUCCAGACUCCUACGGGAGGCAGCAGUGGGGAAUAUUGCACAAUGGGCGCAAGCCUGAUGCAGCCAUGCCGCGUGUAUGAAGAAGGCCUUCGGGUUGUAAAGUACUUUCAGCGGGGAGGAAGGGGGUAAAGUUAAUACCUUUGCUCAUUGACGUUACCCGCAGAAGAAGCACCGGCUAACUCCGUGCCAGCAGCCGCGGUAAUACGGAGGGUGCAAGCGUUAAUCGGAAUUACUGGGCGUAAAGCGCACGCAGGCGGUUUGUUAAGUCAGAUGUGAAAUCCCCGGGCUCAACCUGGGAACUGCAUCUGAUACUGGCAAGCUUGAGUCUCGUAGAGGGGGGUAGAAUUCCAGGUGUAGCGGUGAAAUGCGUAGAGAUCUGGAGGAAUACCGGUGGCGAAGGCGGCCCCCUGGACGAAGACUGACGCUCAGGUGCGAAAGCGUGGGGAGCAAACAGGAUUAGAUACCCUGGUAGUCCACGCCGUAAACGAUGUCGACUUGGAGGUUGUGCCCUUGAGGCGUGGCUUCCGGAGCUAACGCGUUAAGUCGACCGCCUGGGGAGUACGGCCGCAAGGUUAAAACUCAAAUGAAUUGACGGGGGCCCGCACAAGCGGUGGAGCAUGUGGUUUAAUUCGAUGCAACGCGAAGAACCUUACCUGGUCUUGACAUCCACGGAAGUUUUCAGAGAUGAGAAUGUGCCUUCGGGAACCGUGAGACAGGUGCUGCAUGGCUGUCGUCAGCUCGUGUUGUGAAAUGUUGGGUUAAGUCCCGCAACGAGCGCAACCCUUAUCCUUUGUUGCCAGCGGUCCGGCCGGGAACUCAAAGGAGACUGCCAGUGAUAAACUGGAGGAAGGUGGGGAUGACGUCAAGUCAUCAUGGCCCUUACGACCAGGGCUACACACGUGCUACAAUGGCGCAUACAAAGAGAAGCGACCUCGCGAGAGCAAGCGGACCUCAUAAAGUGCGUCGUAGUCCGGAUUGGAGUCUGCAACUCGACUCCAUGAAGUCGGAAUCGCUAGUAAUCGUGGAUCAGAAUGCCACGGUGAAUACGUUCCCGGGCCUUGUACACACCGCCCGUCACACCAUGGGAGUGGGUUGCAAAAGAAGUAGGUAGCUUAACCUUCGGGAGGGCGCUUACCACUUUGUGAUUCAUGACUGGGGUGAAGUCGUAACAAGGUAACCGUAGGGGAACCUGCGGUUGGAUCACCUCCUUA
This 1542-nucleotide ribosomal RNA is filed under the name Escherichia coli O127:H6. Its description in RNAcentral is "bacterial SSU rRNA". It matches the Rfam family "Bacterial small subunit ribosomal RNA". RNAcentral also lists the same sequence under 1 other name. Lineage: Bacteria; Pseudomonadati; Pseudomonadota; Gammaproteobacteria; Enterobacterales; Enterobacteriaceae. The record is from RNAcentral.